Molecule: ribosomal RNA, 496 nt
Filed under: uncultured bacterium
Lineage: Bacteria
Description: partial 16S ribosomal RNA
Rfam family: Bacterial small subunit ribosomal RNA
Source: RNAcentral
AUGCACGCUGGCGGCGUGCCUCAUACAUGCAAGUCGCGCGAACAGACGAGGAGCUUGCUCCUCUGACGUUAGCGGCGGACGGGUGAGUAACACGUGGAUAACCUACCUAUAAGACUGGGAUAACUUCGGGAAACCGGAGCUAAUACCGGAUAAUAUAUUGAACCGCAUGGUUCAAUAGUGAAAGACGGUUUUGCUGUCACUUAUAGAUGGAUCCGCGCCGCAUUAGCUAGUUGGUAAGGUAACGGCUUACCAAGGCAACGAUGCGUAGCCGACCUGAGAGGGUGAUCGGCCACACUGGAACUGAGACACGGUCCAGACUCCUACGGGAGGCAGCAGUAGGGAAUCUUCCGCAAUGGGCGAAAGCCUGACGGAGCAACGCCGCGUGAGUGAUGAAGGUCUUCGGAUCGUAAAACUCUGUUAUUAGGGAAGAACAAAUGUGUAAGUAACCAUGCACGUCUUGACGGUACCUAAUCAGAAAGCCACGGCUAACUACGUG